This 11491-nucleotide long non-coding RNA is filed under the name Olea europaea (common olive). Its description in RNAcentral is "long non-coding RNA (OEUR_LNC005336)". The record is from RNAcentral. Lineage: Eukaryota; Viridiplantae; Streptophyta; Magnoliopsida; Lamiales; Oleaceae.
CCAUUUUGGACUGAACCAAGUUUGUUGAGUCAAUUGGAAAUAAGCUGAAUUUUUAAAUGACAUCGUUUUGUGUGAUUAAAAGAGGAUAAGUGUUCCUUUCGGUUUUUCUCAUUCUAGAACAUUCAUUUUGUCUUUGGUUUUCUCUUUGUUUUUAGAUCUGAAAACUUAUUUUGUAGAUUUGAUUUUCAUUUUCAAGAUAUCUUCAAAAUUUGGUUAUGGAGUGAUGUUUUCCAAAAUUUCAGGGUUAGCAGCGGUGGCAACUUCCACUUCGGCAGCGACAAUUACCACCUAGGUGCACCGUCUCCUCCUACCAAAUUGACCCACUUCUCUGCCUUGAGUUUUUUUUAGAUACACUUGUUCUGUAGAAAAAUUCAAGGUGCUAGAUCUAAUGCUUUUUGUUUGUGCUAAUUAAUUUUGCAAUUUGUGCUCAAUGUUUUGUCGAAUUACGAAAGUUGGUAGUGUUUCAUGGGAUUUUAGUUGGUUAAAGGUACCACUUCAAUGACAAGAAGCCCUAAAUUUUCUUAGAAUUUGUUCAUGAAUUAGCGAAAAAAAUAAAACUCAUUUAUUAUUGGGUAUAAGUUUUGCUUUACUUUAUUGAUGCUUUCAAACAUCUUGAUUCACUUGAGGUAUGUUUAAAAUAGUGUGUUUUCAUUCCAAUAUUUUGAUUCUGCUUGAAAAGCUCUUUUCUUGAUGUGCGAGCAUCAAUUUUUACACUUCACAACCUAUCUAGAGGAUUCUGCAAGCGUGCGAGCUAGGCUGUAACAUUUGAGCAAUAUCCUUCUUUAGGUAAUCGUGUUGUGCGUACCUUCAAAUCUAUGUACCUAGCAUAAUUGAAAAUGAAAACAUUAAGAACUAGAUAACAUAAUUCUUCUUCACAAAUCUUUUGUAUGACUCAGCUCUAUACUGUUUAAUUAUCACCACAAAAAACAAAAGCAAAGAAAUUCACAAGCAAUUAAUUUUAUAUCAUUCAAGUAUUUCCAUACCACAUAUAUUGCUUUCUAUAUUAGAAUUUAUUGAAUGAGAAACAAUGUAUUAAACUCCAUGAAGGAGAAGAUGAAUUACACUCCAUGAAAGGAGGAAAUGAACAGCUCCAUAAAAGGAGGAAGACACUCCAUAAUAGGAGGAAAUGAAAUCUCCAUGGAAGGAGGGAUUGGAGGACAAUCCAAUAGACUAAAAAUUCAUCCACGGUGCUGUAUUUAUAGAGCAAAAUGGCUAAAGUAAUUAACUAACUAAUUAGCUAAUUAACAAACUAAUCAAUAACUAACUAACAACUAAGACAGCUGGACACAACCGUUUUGGAAUCUGAUAUGUUGAGAUGGAAGUCUCUAGAAUCUGGUGCACACAUGAUGCUGGAAUCUGCUGAUGUUUGGUGCAUGUGUAUUCCAACAUUCUAUUCUUUAUCUAUGUCGUUUGAUUUUUGAUAAUUUUAAAGCAACGUUUAAAAUUCUCCAAAAGGGAUUUCUAUUAUGUUUCACAACCUUAUGUUGACCAUAUUAUCUUUGUAGUAUACGCCGUAAAAAAGAGUUGAAGUGAAUUUUUUCCUGUUGAGAUGAGCCAAUUAGUGGUAGAUUUAUAUGUGUUGUUGUGUAUGUAUUUUCGCAGUUUGUAUAAUAUAUCUGCAAGAACGUAGGAUUUGACUUUUGAAAAUAGCUCUGAUUCACCAUGUCUCAGAAACUGGUUUGACAUAUCCAGCAAGCAAGAAGUGAUACAAAAGUUGAGACAACAAUUAAAGAGAAAAGAUUACAUGAUGCUAGAAAUACAAGAUCAGAUUGCAAAACUUUGAGACUCUUUGUGAAGUGCAUUUGUAUUCUUUCCAUCUACAAUAGCUGCUCGAUUCUACAAACAGGGAUCUGUUUGAUUCCAAAGGAAAAUAUAGAGAUUAAGAAAGGCAAUUGCAGAUAAUUAUGGGGGACAUAUGGUUUUUAGUGACAAUUCCCUUGCUGUUCAUCUAGCAGAAGGAAGGAAUGGCCACACAAAUGGAUAUUCCGAGAUUGAAAGCAAUCUUGAUUCUUAAGAAAAAGGGAGAGGAGAUUGGGAUAUAACAUUGAAACAUUAAGAAGGGAAGUCAGGGGGUGAAAAGAAGUAAUAAUCCAAAAUCUCAAAACUUUUGGGCUGUCGUAUCUUAUCUAAACUCAAAAUAUUAGAAAUUUCAAACAUAUGUUUUUUUACGUGUGAUAAGGAUUAAGAAUAAAAGUAGAUGUCAUGGUAUCUUGUUAAUAUAUAACUGAGAAAACAUUUUGAAAAAAAAAUAAAAUAAAAGAUAAUUAUUUUUAGAAGUGAAAAGUUAUAUCGUUGAAUUAAUUUUCAUGUUAUUAUAUUUAUUCAAGACAUCUUUCGGUAAGCUUCCAAGAUUGAGCUUCUUGUUCAUCUUGUGGAAUUAAUUGAUGAUUGUAGGUGUUUAGUCAAGAAAGCUUGUUUGGUUUUACCGUUCUUGAUUAAUCUUUAGGUUCGAUUGAUUUUCUUGAUUUUGGUUUUUUUUUUCAUUAGUAAGCAAAAAGAAAAAAAAAACAUUUUUGCUGUUCUGAUUAUAUGUCAUAAUUUAUUGUAUCUAUUUAAUGAGUUAAACCAUGUGGUAUUGCCUAAUUGUUUCUAUGCACAACUAAAAAACAAUGUAAUUUCGUUCUUCACAUGUCCUAUUACUAAAUAGUAUUUGAUCUUUUUCACUUAGCUUGCACUUUAGCAACAUGAGUUUUUGUUGACUUCCUUGAAGUGAGAUGUGUUUGAUGUUACAGGUGCCUUCCAGAAUUUCAGGGACUACAUCAAAUUUUGUGAUUAAUAAACCCGAGAUUUAAUUUAAACAACCCAAUUUCCUGCAAUUUAUGAAGGAAGCUAAGGAUAUGGAUCUGGAUUUAUGGUAUUUUGUUGAACAAAAGAACAUUUAAUAACCAAUAUCGAUUCUCCAGUAUUUUAUAUUCCAUUUCUGACUUUUAGCAUGCGAACUUUUAUAGCUCUUGUAAGAGGUUUAGUACUUAGCACAAUAUUCAUAUUUUGUAAUUGCAAUUUAGCUAAGACAUCUUGCAGUUGUAGCAUGGCAGGUAUUAAUCAGGGUUGAAAUUAUAAAAGAAAAUGGAAAUAAUAUAAUCAAUCUCUGUCUUCAAUAAACAUUACACGCAUACCAACGAACAAGCUGGAGGAAAACAAAAAAGUGGAGAAGAGGAACUACAACAUUAGAUUUCAGGAAUACGGAUUAUGAGUGCCCUAUUUGAGUCCCAUUUUUUCAAGAAUUCAUUUUUUCAAAUCUCACUUUCAACUAUACAUUCUCUCAUAAAAUAAAAUACGUAUUUUAAACAUUUUUCUUGAUUUUUAACCACACAUUCUCCAAAAAAUCACUAUUCUAUAAUCCAUUUUACCCAAGAAUGGGGAUCAAACAGGGACUAGAUUUCCAUUACAAAGUAAACUUUACCUUUCUCUUCACUAUUUUGUCUUGGUCAGUGGUGGAUCUAGGAGUUGGAGCCAACUAGGGCAGUUGGUAACCGUCGACUGAUGCAUUAACAAGAUCGUUUAUUAAUAUUUUAUUAAAUAAUAUUAAAAAAAUUUAAUUAAUAUAUAAAUGCAGUAAAACGUAAAUCACAUAUUAACAAUCAUCAAGUUUCCAUUUCCAAAUUUCACAAAUACUAGUAGAUUCCAUAAGUCCACAAACACUAAUAGUUUUUAUUUCCAAAAUCCCUAAUUUUCACAAAAUCCUCAAUUUUCACGAAUUUCAUAGUCCACAUAUAUGAUAUCGCAUAUCCUCAAACUCAUGAAGCCUCCAAUUUUCGUAAAUAAUAUUAGAGGUUCGUGACUCAUGAAGUCACAAACUAACAGUAAAUAUUCAUAAAACAUAAAUUCAUAAAUCAUAACUGAUUAUUUUAACUGAUAGCUCAUAAUUUGAUAAAUAAUAAAUCAAAAAACGAACAGAAACCAAAAAAAAAGAAAAAAAGGAGAAAUGAAGAGAGGCAGGAGACUCACCACUCAUGUCCCGCCAUCACGAGUGGAAUUAGUUACCAGUGAUACAGUGGUGGUGUAGUUCUGUAGUUGCCAGUGGCUCAACGUCGGUGAUUCUACUGUGGCUUAGCUUGAGUGCUAGCAGAGAAAAAUAGAGUUUGGAAAUUGGAAUUGGAUAGAAUUGCUUGAUUUUGGGUUUGAACUGCCGAGUGAUAUGUGGCUUUGUGCGUUUGAUUUAUGAAGGGAAAAUUUCACGAAACACCAGUUAAUUUAUAUUAUUGUCUAUUCUACAUGCCACUGUAUUCUUAUUCUAAUUAUACAGCUUUUUAUACAGUAUUUUGGAAAACUGAAUGGGAGAACAAAUAAGCAGGUGUAUUAAGUUGGAAAGCAUCAAUUACGGUCAAUUCAAUUCUCCCAAUAUCUUGCACUUUCCCAAAAAAUCCAUUUCAUAUUCUUCUCUCUCCAUCUUGCAGAAAACUAAACACUACCGUCCAUGCAAAUCCAAGAUCCCCAGAUCAAUUAAUCAAGAAAAGGGGUUAAUUUACUACACAGAUCGAUCUCAUUACCUCACAUACCCAUGGGCUCUGUCUAUAUCCCACGGUCGGAAGUUGAAUGUCGUAAGUUAGCUACCCCUUGACGGAAGUUGUCGCUGGCUUCCAAAGAGGGUAUUAAUGGAGGGGAAGCUUCGGCAUCUGUGGAGAUAGUGACGACGAAAAUGGAAGUGCUUGUUCUCCUUAACGUCGAAUUACAUGAUCUAUAACCGUUUUGUCAGAAUAUAAGGAACGAGACCCCCCAGCCAUCAAAGAAAUGUUUAAAACCUCAGCCAAUGUUUAUAAAAGUGAGAAGAGGCCUCCUGACUAUGUUGACGAAGAAUCCUCUAUGAAGAAAAUGAAAAUGGCGUUGCAUUCGAACCCGGAAAAAGGAAAUUCUACGUCUCACGUAUUAUUUUUGGGGAUUUUUGAAAACUGUGAAUGUUAAUAUAUGUUAAAUUUUGUUUGCUAUCUUGAGGUUGACAUUUUUGAGACAAUGAAUUACGUAUGUAUGUGAUUUACGUGAAGUUCUCCUCCAUGCUUCUCUGACCCCGUUUAUUGUCUGUACCAAAACCAUUGGAUGACACACCGAAACCUUACACUACUGUGUGUGAUAUGUCGCGUUUGAAGAGUUUGAUAUGCUAAAAUUUACUUACAUCUCUGUGAUUGAUUGUGAAUAUUAAUUCUUCUUUUCUUAUGAUGACAACAUAUGCAAUACAACCCAUGUUUGUUACCGAGUAACGUUAACAUUUCUAACCUUACAUUUCAUCAUUUGCAUUUCCAUUUUUUUUUUGUAAUCUGCAAUAUGUAGUGGAAACUCAUUUUACACUUGACUUUGAUGUUCAGAUUGCACACUGUCUAUUAGAAAAUGGAAAUCAGCUGCAGGUGAGUCAGCUUGGGAAUUAGCAAAGCACGUACACUCCAGUACACAUGGGCGACAAGCUGGACUAUAGGUGGAAGAAUAAAUCUAGAAAGAUGUAGCAUAUUUUUUGUUAUGUGGUUUUCCUUUCGUAACAGUGUUGUUUAUAUAAAUUCUUUUUCCUGCCUCCUGUAUAGGUUUUUCGUUAGGCUGGUACUCUUCUCAUUCUAUAUAUAGUGUGAUCAACCUGUAAAGAAGUGAAUAUAGCAGAUUCAAUAUCAUGAGAAAAUUCUCCCAAAACUCUUGCACUCCACCUGCUCGAUAGUUUUCUUCUUUCAUUUAUUUCUUCUUUUCUUAUAUGAUAUCAGAGCCAGAUAUGGUACAACCUGAUUCUGCUAAUCCAAAUCCAGUUGAAUCUUCAAACACAGAUAUAAAUCAACACCCAAAUCCAAUCACGGUUGAUCCCUCACAGCCAAACAGUCCAUACUAUAUUGGAGCUAAUGAUAGCUCUGGAUCCACACUCGUUACUCAUGUAUUGGAUUCAAACAAUUAUCAUUCCUGAGCACGUGCGAUGUAAAGAGCACUCAGGAUUAAAAAUAAGCUCGAUUUUGUUGAUGGAAGCAUUUCAGAGCCUAGUGAUGCAGACAGUCCACUUAUGGAGCAUUGGUUGAGAUGUAAUGAUAUAGUAAUCACUUGGUUGCAGAAUACUAUGGCAGUUGAAAUAAAAUGCAGCACCAUGUAUGCUGAAACGGCACAUUACUAUGCAAAGAACUUGAACAGAGAUUGGCACAGCAAAAUGCAUCUAGGAUUUUUGAACUCAAACAAAGUAUUGCAAACUUGAUGCAAAACCAAGACAGAGUGUGUGUAUUUCUCAAAGCUGAAAACUCUUUUGGAUGAAUUGCUAAAUUAUGAAUCAGUACCCAAUUAUUCCUGUGGGGGUUUGAAGGUUGUGGUGAACAACCAACAAAGAGAUUGGUUUAUGAAAUUCCUAAUAGGUCUCAAUGAUACGUACUAGGGAUUAAAGGCUCAAAUUCUCCUCAUUAAGCCUUUCCCAAUCUUGAAUGAAGUAUACUCCAUAAUUCAGCAAGAAGAGAAGAGAAGGCAAAUAUCCAUUGAUAGUUCACUUGAUGAAACUAUGGCACUACUUGCUAAGGGUAACCUUGAUGUGAGAAAACAAAACCAAUCCUCUCCGAAGAAGGAUAGGUACUACUGCACCUAUUGUAAGAUAGCUGGGCAUUCCCUUGAACGAUGCUUCAAGGCUAAUCUAAACAAACCAACAUGCUCUUAUUGCCAAAUGCCUAGUCAUACAGUUGGAAAAUGUUUUGAGUUACACGGGUAUCCAUCGGGGCACAAAUCAGAAGGGAGAAAUAAGCCAUCAACAUCAUUUGCUAAUCAGACUACUACACUUAUGCCUCUUGUCUAGGAACGGGUAAAUAACAAAGCUCAAAUGUCUUUAUCUCAGGAGCAAUAUGAUUAGCUCAUGGCACUGCUGAAACCACAAACUCAUCAAACCUUCAUCCCUUCUGCAAAUCAUGUUCAAACUUUAUUCCAACUCAUUCUGAUAAUGGUGAGAUGCCAAAAGCUUCAGGUAUAUCUCUAUGUCUGUCUGCCUUUAGCACUAAACUUCAUGAUCAUUCAGUUGUACCUUGGAUAUUAGACACAGGGGCUACGGAUCAUAUGAUCUUCUCAACCUCUCUCUUUACCACAAUAAAGUCUAAAGUUUCCUAUUCAGUAGGUCUCCCAAAUGGUAAGGACAGUAAAAUUUUUAGAAUCUUUCAUUUUGGAUAAUGUUCUUUGUGUUACGUCGUUUUCUUUUAAUCUGCUAUCAGCUAGAAAAAUAACGUAGAACAUGAAUUGUUGCCUCAUUUUUCUUCAUGAUUGUUGUUUUAUACAGGACCUUUUGACUUGGAAAACGACUGGAAUGGGUGAAGUAAAGCAAGGACUCUAUCACUUGAUGCAAAACGAAGUGUCUCCUUUUUCCUUGACCAAGAAAUUAGCCUAUCUAACUUAAAAGACACCCAUAUCCACUUCCUCUAUUUUCAAUAAUGGUGAAGAUUUCGAUCUUUGGCACUGUAGGUUAGGACACUCCACCUAUUCAAAGUUUAAUUUACCAGAAGACACCACAAGAUCCACCAAACAGCCUUACCUUAAUUGUCCUUUAGCCAAACUACAAAAAUUAUCAGAAAAAUGUUUUGAUCUCAUAUAUUGUGACAUUUGGGGACCAUGUAAUGAGAUUAGUUAUGAUGGUUUUCGUUAUUUUCUAGCUAUUGUGGAUGAUUUUAGUAGAUGUACUUGGUUUUAUAUGUUGAAAUUCAAAUCUGAUGCUGGCAUUGUUUCGCAAAGUUUUUGCUCUAUGAUUGAAACACAAUUUGAAUGCAAAGUUAAAACUAUUAGAUCAGACAAUAGAGAUGAAUUUGAGAUGAAGAAAUUUUAUUCACAAAAGGGAAUCAUUCACCAUAAAACUUGUGUAGAGACUCCUCAACAAUAUGCCAUAGUUGAAAGAAAACAUCAACACAUUUUAAAUGUGGCAAGAGCUUUAAAAUUUCAAAGUGUCAUCCCAUUAAGAUAUUGGAGUAAUUGUGUUCUCACGACAGUUUAUCUUAUAACUAUAACCCCUAUACCUCUUUUAGACCACAAAACACCCUUUGAAAUUCUUUUUCAAACCAAACCAGAUUACACUUAUCUUAGAGUUUUCGGAUGCCUAACAUUUGCUACUACCCUAGUAAGUGGAAGACUUGAAUUUGAUCCUAGAGCUAGGAGAUGCAUAUUUUUGGGAUACCCAUUUGGAAUCAAAGGAUACAAAUUAAUGGAUUUGGAAACAAAUAAGGUCUUUAUCUCUAGGAAUGUUAUCUUUCCAUGAGAGUGUGUUUCGCUGCAAGCAAAAUGCUAGCAUGAGUGCUGAUUUUAGUCCAAAUCCAACUUCAAAAACAGAUUUCAUUUCUGAAAUUCCUACUAUCUCAAAUCACAUAGAAAACAGCCAAAUCAUUCUCUUAUCAACAUUUCAGACAAAAUGUAGCAACAGAUCACUCAACAGACUUUGAAUCUUCUUCAUUAGAACAAAAUCAUGACUCAUCUGAACCUGCAAAUACAUUUAGAAUUGAUAGUGAGCCAUCCCAAAAACAAGUUGUACCUUGAAGGUCAAACAGAAUCAAGAGAACCUCUACAUAUCUCAAGGAUUUUGUCUGUCAAUAGGUCACUUUGCUUCCCCAUUCACAGGCUUUGGACAAGCAAAGGGUCACCAUUCCCUCAGGUAAUCCCUAUCCUCUUGAGAAUAGUGUGUCAUAUCAUAAACUCUCCACUCCCUACAAGGCUUUUGUUGUUUCUAUCAACACACACACAGAACCUAAAAAUUUCCAAGAAGCACUGAAUCUCUCGAGUGGUGUAAUGCUAUGAAAGUUGAAAUAAAUGCUCUCGAAUUAAAUGAUACUUGGCUAGUUGUUGAUCUGCCUCUUGGUAAGGAGGCCAUAGGGUGUAAGAGGGUUUAUAAAAUCAAAUUUAGUGCUAAUGGGACCAUAGAGAGAUAUAAAACCAGAUUAGUGGUUAAGGGAUACACACGGCAAUAAGGACUCGACUAUCAUGAAACAUUUUCUCCUGUGGCAAAACUAGUUACUGUAAGGACUUUGUUGACUUUGGUUGCUGUUAAAGGUUGACACUUAUACCAGUUUGAUGUAAACAAUGCAUUUCCACAUGGAGAUUUGGAGAAAGAAGUUUACAUGCAAUUGCCUCCGGGUUAUCCCACUGCUAAUGGGACAAAAGUUUGCAAAUUGAAGAAAAGCUUGUAUGGCCUUAAACAGGCCUCUAGACAGUGGUAUUCUAAGCUGUCUAACUUCAUUAUUGAGCAAGGUUUUUCACAAUCUAAGGCUAAUUAUAGCUUAUUUACAAGAGCUACAAAACAUUCUUUUAUUGCCAUCCUUCUAUAUGUCGACGACAUUAUAGUGUUCAGCAACUGCAUUGACUCUGUUAAUGUUCUCAAGGAUACCCUACAUGAGAAAUUCAAAAUCAAGGAUCUAGGAUAGCUGAAAUACUUCCUUGGGAUUGUGGCUAGGUCAGAUCGUGGCAUCCACAUAUGCCAAAGAAAGUAUGCCUUAGACAUCUUGACAGAUUCAGGCAAAAUUGGGGCAGCACCAACUCGAAUUCUGCUUGAUCAGAAUCAUAAGCUUUCUAAAGCGCAGGGUAAACUAAUUCCUAACCCAUCACUCUAUAGAAGGCUAGUUGGAAGAUUACUAUAUUUAACUAUAACAAGAUCGUAUCUAUCCUUUUCAGUGCAACUAUCAAGUUAAUUCAUGGAUAACCCUAGAUUCCCACGCCUUAAUGAAGCCUACAAAGUUUUAAGGUAUAUCAAAAAGGCUCCAGGACAAGGUUUGUUUUAUUCUACUGAAUCAAGCUUGCAACUUAUAGGUUACUGUGAUUCAGAUUGGGGAGCAUGCCAGGACACAAGAAGGUCGGUCAGUGGUUAUUGUGUGUCUACUGGGUCUUCUUUGAUAGCCUGGAAGUCAAAGAAACAAGGGGUCAUGUCUAGAUCAUCUACAGAGGCAGAAUACCGAGCAAUGGCUAACCUGUGCUGUGAAUUAACUUGGAUGAGAUAUUUACUUCAUGACUUGCAAAUUACACAUCCUCAGGCUGCCACUAUGUUUUGUGAUAACAAGGCUGCACUUCACAUCGCAUCAAGCCCUAUCUUUCAUGAACGAACCAAGCACAUUGAGCUUGAUUGUCAUCUCAUCCGUGACAAGAUUCAAGAUGGAAGCAUAACCACUCGUUAUAUUGGUAGUAGACUACAAGUUGCAGACCUCCUAACUAAGGCCUUAAGUUCUCCUGUUUUCUACUCUCAUUUGCUCAAGAUGGGAGUAGAAGAUAUCUACUCUCGACCUUGUGAGGGGCUAUUAGAAAAUGGAAAUCAGCUGCAGGUGAGUCAGCUUGGGAGUUAGUAAAGCACGCACACUCCAGUACACAUGGGCAAUAAGCUGGACCAUAGGUGGAAGAAUAAAUCUAGAAGGAUUUAGCAUCUUUUCUGUUAUGUGGUUUUCCUUUCGUAACAGAGUUGUUUAUAUUGAUUCUUUUUCCUGCCUGCUGUAUAGGUUUUCCGUUAGGUUGGCACUCUUCUCAUUCUAUAAAUAGUGUGAUCAACCUGUAAAGAAGUGAAUAUAACAGAUUCAAUAUCAUGAGAAAAUUCUCCCAAAACUCUUGCACUCCACCUGCUCAAUAGUUUUCUUCUUUCAUUUAUUUCUUCUUUUCUUAUACCGUCUAACAAUCAUUUUAUUUUAUUUCGUUUCCAUUUUUUUUAUGCAAUCUGUGAUUUAUAGUGGAAAUGAAUUAAACUGGGUUUUGAUGUUCAAACUGCAUGCUAUUAACAUGUUAUUUCCAUAACGAAAUAUUAGUUCUUUUUUUUCUUAUGAUGACAAUCAAUGCAAUACAGUCCUUGUGUAUGUUACCGAGUAACGUUAACAUUUCAAACCUUACAUUUCAUCAUUUGCAUAUCCAUUUUUUAUGCAAUCUGCAAUGUGUAGUAGAAGCUCAUUUUACACUGGCCGGUGAUGUUCAGACUACUCACUGUUUAACAUUCUUAUUAUUCUAUUUCCAUUUCUUUUUUAAUGCAAUCUGCGAUGUAUAGUUGAAACAAAUUACACUGGGUUUUGAUGUUCAGACUGCAUGUUAUUUCCAUGAUGAAAUAUUAAUUCUUCUACCUUACAAUGACAGAAUUAUUCAUUCAUCAUCCACUCGGAGAACCGAUUCGGUGGCACUAUAAAUGUGUUCAAUAAGAAUGAUGUGAGAACAAUAUCGAAAGCGAAAAUGAACGGUGCAGAAAGAGACGUUCAAAAAUUCGUGUUUUGGACACUUUCUUCAGAUGAGUGAAAUGCGAAUACAACAUCAAGUUAUUCACAAGAUGCUGAUGUUGGAAAUCAGGCAACCGAACAAAGACGAAAUAUGGUUUGAACUAGAAGGGAAGAUUAUAAGAUUCUCAAUUCACAAGUUUUGCAUCAUUAGCGGGCUGAAAUGUGGUCAGCUAAUUAUUUUGGUCAUUUGUGCGCCUUUCUUUUUGUGCCAGCUUAGGUGAUGUAGAUCGAGUGGCCUAUAAUUUUAUUGAGAAGUAUGAGAGGAGGCUUGAGAAACAGGAAUAUUAAUUUUUCUGUUAUUUCUUUAUUAUGUCUGUCAAAUUAAGUUUUCUUAUUAUGUUAUCUAG